GAAAAAAACGGCACCCGCAAGUCAAAAUUUGGGGUAAAUUUUGGGUAGCUCAGAUUUUGAAGUGACUCAGUAAUAACUCUAAAUUUCCAGUCAGUAACUUGAAGAUUUGACUUCAAUUCAGCUUAGUUUCAGGUUUUCCGGGGCCACGUUAAAUAAAACAACUGGAGCAGCACCAAAGUACAAACAAGAAAGGAGGCCAGAGCUGCAUUUCCCAGGUGAACGCCCAACUCCCGUGCGGGUCAGACAUCACAGUAACCCGCCUCCUUCUGCUUCUGGUCUUCUCUGGUACAAAUGCACAGUUGUCCAGUCAGCCAGCUGGUCAUGACUGUCAGCAGGACCUCGGCUCGGGCUGCGGAUGGAGGCCAGAUGGCUUUGUGAACAUCCUUCUGUUAACGAUUACAGAGUAAAUUCGGCCCAGCUCUGAAUUUCAUCUACCCACUGAUUCCACUGUCUCCACAAUGGAGGAGUCGGACUAUGCUCCCCACCUCUUUCCUCGCCUACUCAGCUCUACUCACCUGUCACCCAUCUGCUGUAAUCACUCACCUGCCAAUCAUCACGGAUUAUUACCCUGUGGAGUCUGCUCCCUUGCUGAAUCGUUGUGCUGACUUGUGUCAGUGUAGCCCCGGCUUGGCUAGUGAGUUCCUUGUGUUUCCUAAUGUGUCUCCCUAAUCUGUUCUUCUUGUGCAGACUUCCCUAUCCCUACCUGUUUCUCCUGCCCUGUGGACCCUGAGUGGGUGUGAGUGAACUUUCUUGGAUUGUAUUUGGAGUUUUUGUGACUCGUGGACUGUGUGAAGAGGAGUGUGAAGGUUUCCCUGCCCUGGACAUUCUCCCCCUAGUUUCCCUGGAGCCUCCUUCCCCUGCUGCUGUAUAUAUUUCACCUGGUGUGCAUCUGUAAAUAAACCCCUUUCACUUUUCACCAGUUUUGAGUCCUGCACCCAACUAACUUUGACACAAAUAUGUUUCUUACAAGAGCUCUUACAGUGUGCUGCCAAGCUAUUAGAGGAAGCGCUUUUCUUAUAGUGUCUUGCAAACUUGUUUUUUUGUUUUUGUUUUUUGCUUUAUAUUUUAAUCGCUGCUCUCUAGAAAGCAGACGUUCAAGCAGCUUUUUUGUCCUUUAUUUCAGACUCCCUCUCCAGUUUUUACUAAUGAGCUUGCAUGCUUUUAAGCUGCAGAUCAUUCAGAAUGGUAAAGAGCGAGGGAUAGAACCAGAGAGGACGCGUACAGAGGAAGUGCAGAGCCAGCACACAUUACCCUCCAGAGGUUUCGAGCACCAGGACUACAGGAUUUCAAAAGACAUGAUGAGAGAGAGAGAAAGGGGUCAUCAUGAGUUCAGUGUUGAGGCGGCUGAGGAAAUGGAUACCAUUUUUCCUAUGUUUUUUUUUUUUUUUAAGAUGUCUGGUAUAUUAGUAGCACAUCAGUUCAAUUCAUAAUUUCUAUUCUACUGUAGUUUUAUUUCUUUUUAAUGACGGAAGAAAAUGAGGGAGGAAUAAAUAAUAAGAAUGUCUUUUCUUUAAGCUUCCUAAUCUUUUUUAUUUAUUCAGUCGAAACAUGGUAAUUAAAGUCAUAGGGCUACACGGGGGAUAUUCUCCUGACAUUCAGCCAUAAACUUCAGAUAAAGCUGUUUACAUCAGUGUCUUAAAGUAUUUGAGAUCUGCAGUCUUAUAUUUAUUUUUAAGAAAUAUUUAAAGGGACAGCUUACUUUUAUUCACCUGAAAAAAAUCAUCAAUACCAGUCCUUUUUGUGAUUUUAGCUUCUCAAAUAUCCAUCUGUCCAUCAGCUGGGGCCUGUGCAAAAUAGAAAUAGACCAAGAGGCAGUUCCACGCCCUUGAGAGCUCACCAGUUCAUCUCAGGGUUCUCAUAGAGACAAGCACACACUCUCAUAUCCACACCUCAGUCAGUGUAGAAACACCCUGAACUUAAUGUGCAUGCCUUUGGACUGUGGGAGGAAACCACAUUAACCAGAGGGAAACCCCUGCAGAUACAUGGAGAAUCCCACAGAGAAACGCCCAGCCAACAAGGAGGUUUGAACCCAAGCGGUGCUAACCACUGCACCGCUGUACCUCCCAACAACAGUUUUCAGUAUUUUUUUAAUCUUCUCCAGAUUUAAAACACAUAAAACUUCUGAAGAUCACAUACAGCUUGGAAUUAUUCAAGAAAAUAACAGGCAAAAUGUUGACUAAAGUCUGUCUGUGAAGUCUGUGAAGAGCUAAAAGUUUCCUGCAGAGAUCUUUGAUUUAACGUAAUCAAUUCUCCUCUCAGACUAAUCUUCAGCUUGGUAAUAACUGGACACGAAAAUACAUCCGCUAAUUAGACUGGAAAGAUGAAGGAGCAGUAUCCCACCCUAGUAAUGUAAUCUUGCUUCCUUAAUUUAGUUUCAAACAGCACAACAGGGCAGAACCCUCUGAUGAAGCG
This is a long non-coding RNA of Oreochromis niloticus (Nile tilapia), 2412 nucleotides long. RefSeq lists it as uncharacterized. The transcript is spliced from 6 exons. NCBI's taxonomy places the organism in Eukaryota, Metazoa, Chordata, Actinopteri, Cichliformes, Cichlidae. The record is from RefSeq and is a predicted model, not a curated record.